Molecule: non-coding RNA, 4447 nt
Organism: Meleagris gallopavo (turkey)
Lineage: Eukaryota; Metazoa; Chordata; Aves; Galliformes; Phasianidae
Source: RefSeq, a predicted model, not a curated record
AGGUGGGCUGUGGAGCUGUGGACAGCUGCUGAUUUGCUCUCAGCAGGUUCAGCCCAUUGAUGUUCAUUACGGGUUCAAGGCUGUAAUACUUGGCAUUUGCUGAACCAUCAGAUUGCCAACUACUGUGCAUGACUCAAAAUUCUCUUUUCUUGCCUCAGCUACUCAAAUGGAUCUUGAUUUCUCAUCAGAUCCCAUGUGCUGUAUCACAUUAGUUGCUCCUUAAAUACAUCAGUGAGUGGUAGUCCCUAAAUCAUGAAGAUUUCAAUUCUUUUCUGUCUCAAUUAAUAUAAUGUGGCGAUACCUUAAGGGGUUCAAUGAAGUUCCCAAAGCCUACAACCACAACUUUUUCCAUAACAAUACCUGACAAAGGUUUAUUUUCUACCUUUUUACAUCUGUUCACUUGAAGGUAUUGAGCACUUCUGCAGAUGAGAAGCUCAAGGUGUUAUUCAGAAUAUUUUUAGUCAACUCUACCAAUCUUGUACUUUAUGCUUUCAUAAGGGAUUGCUGUGUAGACCUCACUAUUUACCAAUCUGCACAUUUACACACAACUUUCGAUCUAUCCCAUUUCCAGAUUUUUGUUGAAGUUCAGUUUGAUUCUCUCUUCUGAUCUCCUAGAUUUCGUGCAGACUUCAUGUAUAAAUGACCUGGGUGGCAGAUUCUUUCUUUUUUCUGAGUUAGAGGAGAAAUAGCUUUAACAGCAUGUCAUAUUGAUUUAUUCCUCCUCAAUCUAAUUUAUUUUCCUCCUAUCUAUCGUGUGAGUUUUCAUGAUGAGAGCUCUUACACGCACAAGUUUCCACAAAACUUUUUUUUUUCCCUUUUUGUCCAACUUCAUCUUUUGCACACAAAAGAUAUCCAGUGAAAAUAGGGGACUGGUUGCUACGUAUCUUGCUGUGGAAGAGCCUGAGAACUGAACAGUACUGAAGUAGCUCACCAUCAGACAGGAGUCAUCUAGGGAUCACCAAUGGUAAGCAUCGGUGCUGUUUCCUGACGUGACUUUUGUGUGCCUACUGAGAGGUCACAGCUCAAUAGCUAGUGGUCAAAGCAGCAAAUAGAAGCCUUUGCUUUUAUUCCCACUAGGCCUGGUUGUAGAUGAUGGUCUUUUUCCUGCAUAAGGCAGAAGUGGUUGACCAAGUGCUUUGGGGUGUUCAGAUUAAAAGCUGCUGUUCAAUCUGCACUACUAUUGUUGGGCUAACUCCUAAAGGUUUCAUUUUUAUUAAGUUCUUAGGUGCACAAAUCAACAUUAGAACACACUGCUUAACCAAGGACCAAUGCAUUAACUACUGUUUAGAAACUUGGGAUCAAACCGAGCUAACUGCUCAGUCCCUCACUGAAAGGUAAAAUAAAAGUCUGUAAAAUUAAGCAACCGAACCUUAGGAGAGAAACCUGUUGUGUAGAGCUAAGAACCACAUUUGUAAGUUAAUCUCAGUUUACCAGGUAGAUACCAGUGUUAAAUAUGGAAAAGAAAGAAACAAAAGACAGCAAGUCAUGUGACAGAUUAAAGGCAAAGCCAUGAAACAGGACUGCUUAAAAAGGUCUUCUAGCUAUUGAGUUUUGUGGUCUGAACACGGCUCUGAUCACCAAAGCGGGUUUGUGGCUUUUGCACAAGACUGCCGAGGUGAUGCUGUUUCUUCCUUAAUGUUCCUUUGUCUUGCAGGUGUGAGUGAGAUUUGGAGAGCAGAUAUCACUCAGCCCAUAGUUUGACAGGUCUCUGUUCUUGGCGCAUUGGAGCUGUUUCCUGCACAGACAUAUUGUAAAACUGAUCUAGCCUUAAAAGCUUCAUUCACUAGAGAAUUAUUUGCUGCAUUUAUAGCACUGUACAUAUAAGAAAAACUAUUAUGGGCCAUCAACAUGAUGUAAGAGAAAGCAAUCUCUUUAGUGACACGUGUUCUCUUGGACAGAGACUGGUUCUGAGCUAACACCUGGCAGCAGGUGGACACGUGAAAUGUGAAUUUCAAGUUUACUUUGCAUUAGCCUUGGUUUGACAUUGACUCCACAGCACAGCUCUGUACUUUCAGUGGAGGAUUUUGAUUUCCUGAGCAGGAGGGCUUUGACUUCAGGGCAGGGCUUGGCAGCCAUUUGCAUCUACUUGUGCACUAACAUUUUUUAAAUAGCAUGUCAUUAGUGGCUUGUUGUUUUUUUUUCCAGCUUACUGGAAAUUACAAAGAAUUUAGCCAUGGGUUUGGUGCCAAUUUUCAGGAUUUGCUCUACUGGACAAACUUGUUGCAUCACUGUUGUGUGACAUUUGCGUCAUGUUAUUCCAACACUGAUUCCUUAUUAUGCAAAGCAGUCACAUUGCCUCAUGCUAACCUGAGGGUGCACUGCAACAUUACCAUAUUAUGAUGCAAUAUGGCUGCGUGGUGACAGCACUGUUAUGUGAUUCCUUGGUGAGAACUUGAAAUAUAUUUUUGGAAACGUCUUCACAAUUUUAAUCUGAUAAAAAUGUUAUAGUUAGACACACGCUGGGAGGAGGAAGGAGGAGACACUAACUUUUCCUUCUCCCUGCUACCCCAUUUCUCAUACUUAAUUCUCCUCUAAAUAUUCCUUACAAUGAUGAAAACACUGCUGUGAGCCUCACUUCGAUGGAUACAUACACAAAACUGUGGCUGGAAUUAACUCUGUCUUCUUUUUGUUCUGCACAAUGACUCUUCCAAAAGAGUUUCAGGCUAUGGUUUAUAAUGCCUAAAAAUGUCAAAUUGUAAUGGAGGAAUUGUGUUUUUGAAAUGCAGAACGGAGCAAUAGUUCCUGAUCUCCCUUGGUGUAUGACUUGCCAAAAUCCUCCUAUGUUCAACUGAAGGUAGGUGUCAUCUGGAAACGUGAGGAAAGAGAAUUGAAGUUCUGCAAAACUUCUCCAUGGGCAAAUCUCUAAAGGAUUUAGUAAAAGGAAUAACAAUUUUUAAUUCCGGAGUGUUAUGGGCCUCUGUGGAUGGGAGAGAUUCAGUUAAUCUGAAACACAGACCAUCUGAUUGCUUAGAUGCAUCAAUGCUUUUGUAUGAGAUGGUAAGGAAAAAGAAAUUCCCACAACUUAGGAGUUCUGUCUCUGUAUGAAAAAAAAAGUUGGGUAGAAAAUCUCUGCACAUUCAGCCAUUGUAUUUCAAAUAGGAAAUCUAUUUCUAUUCUAUUAUUUCCAUGCUGGAAAAGUAUCCCUGCAGCAAACAUUUCAACAGGUUUGAUAAUAAAAUAUAGUGGGGAAAAGAUGAAGGAAGAAAAUUGGAAAGAGACAAAGCAAUGGACAAAGAAAAAGCUAGAGAAGGUGUAAAAAAAGAGUGACAAAGGGAAAGAGGUAGGAUGAAAGUUGAGAUGCAAAUGGACAGAAAGGAAAUCAAAAGGGAAAAUGGCAUUUCCAUGAGAUCUCCGUGCUUCCAGACUGCAUUAGAACACUUGGAAAAAAACUGGCAUUUCCACAAGAAAUAGGAUCUCUUUCGUAACAGGGAGGGUGGAGUCACAGAAGCAGGCCUAACAAUUAUGUAAGAGCACAUGCUAAAGGAAAACAACUGUAAUCUUUUCUGUUUGCUGACCGGUCAAAGAAGGGCAUGUGCCACACUGUGAAAAGCUGGAACAUCUACAGUAUCUGCUAGCUGUAUUGGAAAAGGAACCUGCAGUGACACUCAGAAUUCUGCGUGUUCUGUGGCAGCUGCACUUUGACGAGAAUUUGAUGAGAUCUUAACAUAUCCAAUGUGUCUCCACCUGUUAGCUUUCAGAAUUGCUGUCACACUGGCACUUUGUAUUACAUUCACACCUACUGCUGUGGGAAAAAAUGAAGAGUAAGUAGAUCUUGAUGAAAUACUACUUAAAAUAUCUUUUUUAAAGGAUCAUUCAGGAAUAUCCUCAGUGUGCAAACAAUGUUUGUGAUUCUGAUUCACUUUCACAUUUAAAACUGAGCAUGAGCACUUGAGCUACGGGUGCACAAGAAGACCAAUUUUGUUCUCACUUUGCCCAGAGUUGUUUUCCUGGCACCAGUGAAGUCAGUCUCACUGGUUUGGAUGAGAACAAAGUCACUGUGCGAUACGUUCUCAAGCAGAGUAAUGUUGCAUUGAACAUGCACUGAAAUUAACAGAAAUGCAACCACAUAAAACUGUUCCCGUUGCACUGAUGGGAAACUGCUGCUUAGAGUAUGAGAAUCAGAGAAGUUUGUUCUUGAAAUUUUUCUUAGGACCUUUCCCACCCCAGGUAUGAUUCUGUUCAUGAGAAUAUCCACAGCAGAGCUUCCAUGGUAGUAGUUUAAACAAAGCUGUUAGUCCUUCACUGUUAGUCUUUCACAGUCCUACGUCUGUAAAAUGGGAGUAGAAUGGUAAUACAUUUUUGUUAUGUUGAGGUUUAAUUCUCAGUAUUAGCACUGUGUUCUGAAAGCUUAAGAUGAGAGAUUAUAAAUUGAAACACAUUAGCUAUACUUAAGCAAAUUGUUGCUGUGUAUUCCUGCAAGUAUUUUAAAAGUUCAACUCAUCCAGAA